This 7433-nucleotide long non-coding RNA is filed under the name Olea europaea (common olive). RNAcentral describes it as "long non-coding RNA (OEUR_LNC005339)". The record is from RNAcentral. Lineage: Eukaryota; Viridiplantae; Streptophyta; Magnoliopsida; Lamiales; Oleaceae.
UUUCUGUUUGUUUGUUUAUCUCAUCCAUUGUCUUGUCAACAUCAUCAAUGUUCCUAUAUGUAAGCCUUGUCAAAGUUGAGUUGCUAAAGAAUAUACGUAUUGUGAAGAAUACUAAGAUAUCAAUAGUACGCAAUUUAUCUAUACCGGAUUGUUGAAGAGCAAAAUGAUGCCACCCUAGCUGGAUUUUUGGAACCCCCGAAAUAGAGGAGCAGAGAAAUAUUGCAGAGACAACAGAUGCAGUCGCCGGCCAAGAGGGAAGAAAGAAGAAGAUAUGAUUUGAGCAGCUUGUGUGAAUUGUGAUGACUUGGGCUAUUGGGCCUUUUUUUUUUAAAAAAACAAAUAGAGUGGCCCAAAUCAAUGAAAUCGUCCAUUAAUGAUUAGGGAAAAUUAGGUGUAGUACCCUAAAAAAUUUAAAUAUUUGAUUAAUACCUUAAAACUAAUUUAAAACUAUUAUUACCGUAUUAAUUACGUUCAAGACUCACGAAAAAAACACCCAAAUCUGAAACCCCUGCAAUAAAAAAAAACCUUGAGAAACAAGCCUCUAUUGCAGACAUUUUUGUUGAAAUUUAUCACCAAAGGCGCGGUGGAAAGCAACAACACCACCAACAGUAGCCACGGGUAUUGAUUUGGUCGCCAGAGGUAAGAGCAAGAAAACCAAGCGCACUGCUCCUAAAUCCAAUGAUAUUUACCUCCAGCUUCUAGUCAGUCUGUGUUGAUUCCUCGGAGGAGAAUUGGAAGUGAGUUCAAUGCAGUUAUAUUGAAGAGACUGUUCAUGAGCAAGGUUAACAAGGCCACACUUUCUCUCUCGUCUUGUCACUUCGUGAAGGGCAAGGAAGACAAAAUUGCAGUGCUUGUUGGGACUGUGUCACUGAUGAUAUUCUGGCUUAUGAAGUCCUUGCAAUGAAGGUAACAGCUUUGAGAUUCACAGAGAAAGCAAGGUUGAGAAGGCAGAGAAGAAUGCUUAAAUUUUAGUCAGCUAGCUCAGAGCUCCUCUUGGGCAAAACACGGUAGUGAAUAUUCCAGUCUUUUUCUUGAUAAUUUUAAUGUUGCUAGAGUUUGAUAUAGUUGGUAGUAUAGAACGGUGGAAAUGAGAUUUUUAACCAAUAACAUGAAUAUCAUUUUGUCAGUGAUUUCAAUUAUGCAAUGAUUGUUGUGUUCACUAGUUUGAUAGUUUGAUUCAUUAUUUCCUUUGAACUAGUAUUUAAGGUUUGAUAUGGAUUCUGUUACUCACAAAAAUUGCUUUGUUAAAGAUUUUUUUUUUUUUUUUGGCUCAAUGUUCAACUAUUUUGGUCUUGCUCACAGCUAUGAUUCUGCUGGUAAAUUUUGCCAUUUUUGUUUGUGCUACAAAAACCUUGUGCCGUUAUGAAACCUAAAAUAGCUAACUGUGCUAUUUUGAUGCAGGUACUUCUUAGAGGACCCGUGAAGUCUCGUGAGGCAGCGAAGCACUUUGGUCCAACUCCUAGUGUUCCACACAGCCACACCAAGCCGAAUGUGAGAGCCAAGGGUAGGAAAUUUGAGCGUGCUAGAGGUACAAGAAGCAGCAGAGGUUUUAAGGUCACAACCAUUAGUUAUUGCUAAGUUGAUGGCUAUUUUUUUUUAUAUUUUAUCAGAUAUUCUAUGAAAUGUUUUGUCUCACUAUGUAUUCCCCACCCCGAUUCUUUUCUUGUGUUCUCUCAUCCUUUUUUUUUUUUUUUUUUUUUUUUUUUUUUUUGUUCAUUUUUUUAUAAAUUNNNNNNNNNNNNNNNNNNNNNNNNNNNNNNNNNNNNNNCUCUUCGAUGCAAUUGUUAUCACAUUUGCUACUAUAAUGUUACUUGUGAAUUUCUAUCACGUGGAUUGUCCUAGACGUGCUUAUUAUGUUAAAAAUCGCUACUACACUUAUGUAAAUUGUACUGAACAUGUUGAUUAUGUUAAGAACAUGAUUACGGGUGCCGCGCAAAUGAAUGAUGCUAUUUUGGUGUUUGUCAUUUUUUUAUUUUAUUUUAUUUUAUUUUUUGAGUUUGUGUCUUCUUUUUUUUCAUUUUUCUUGAUUUUGUCACUUUUUUUUAUUAAAUUUGCCACUUCUUUUAAGUUUGUGUCACUUUUUCGAAUUAUAAAAAAAGUGACAAUUUUUAUAAAAGAGUGACAUUGCGUCACUUUUUAAUUUUACAUAGUUUAUUUCAUGGGUCACAAAUCAAAAAUUUUAUAGGUCACAAUUUUGUUGGUCACAAAUUAAUGAAUUUUAAGGUUACAAUUUAAUUGUUAGUCACAAAGAACCAAAUAUUUGGUCAUAUACACUAAACGCUCUACCCUGCUCUCGAUCUACUACCAAUUCUUGGUCAUAAAUCAACCAAAUAAUUGAUCACAAAACACUCGUCAUCACAUCCCACUGCCACCACUACAUCGCUACUGCUAACAAUAAUAACAACAAAAACAACACAAUGCCACACUAUAUUGUAUUUGUAUUCUUUGUGUUGAUGAACUUAGUUUCAUUACAAAAAAUAUCGUGCACGUACAAUCCAUUAGGACAACAAUUUAGGUGAUUUUUUUCACUUGUAUAUUCAUUAUCUUGUGUCCAUUUGCCUCCAUAACAAACGAAAACAUUAAUUUUAUCCAUACCUGGAAAAAGAUUGCAAAAAAAAUUGUGAGUUUUUUUUUUUUAAAUGACAGAGUAAUAUGCAUCUAGUUAAUUGCGCUAGUGAGAUACCAUGACUUUUUGAGAAUGUCACUUUUUCACAUUCUCUUUAAACAAUCACUUUUUCACAUUCUCUUUAAACAAACACGUUUCAUGCAUCAAUGUAAUUGAUUCAAAGUUUUUCUAUUUCAUAUAUAUUACCAGAAAACAGUGCUUGAAUUGGUAUGUUCAAAUUUUCAAAAAAUGCACACGUAUGCAUCUAUUUAAUUGUUCGAAUGAUAUGAUGUGACUUUUUAUUGAAAAUAGUGACAAAAUAUGUUGUCACUUUUUCAUAGAAAAGUGACAGAAUCACAUUCUCCUUGAGCAAAAGCCUUACAUGCACCAAUGUAAUUAAUUCAAAAUUUUCUUUUUUAUAUGUAUUACCAAAAAACAGGAAUUGAAUUGGUAUAUUCAAAUUUCAAAAAUACAAACGUAAUCACGUAUAAAAUUACUUAAUUGCUCCAAUGAUAUGGUAAUGGUAUGACUUUUUUUGAAAAAAAGUGACAAAAUGUCACUCUACAUGAGCAAACACCUUGCACGCAUCCACGUACUCGAUUCAAAGUUUUCUUUUUCAUAUAUAUUACCAAAGAACAGGGGAUGAAUUAGUAUGUUCAAACUUUCAAAAAAGCAUACGUAUGCAUCAAGUUAAUUAUUCCAAUGAGAAAUGGUGAUUGUUUUGGAGAAAGGUCAUAAAAUGUCACAUUUUCGUCGAAAAGUGACACAAUGUCACUUUUUUUUAGAAAAGUAACAGAAUGUCAAUCUUCAUGAGCAAACAUCUUACAUGCAUCCAUGUAAGUGAAUCAGAGUUUUCUUUUUCAUAAAUACUACUAGAAAACAUGCCAUGAAUUAGUAUGUUCAUACUUUCAAAAAAGUACAUCUAUGCAUCAGGUUAAUUACUCCAAUAAUAAAGCGUGACUAUUUUGGAAAAAAAGUGGCAAAAUGCCGCUUUUUCUUAGAAAAGUGACACAAUGUCACUUUUUUUGAGAAAAAGUGAUAGAAUGUCAUACUUUCCAUGAGCAAACACCUUACACACAUCCAUGUAGUGGAUUCAAAGUUUUUUUUUUCCAUAUGUAUUAUCAGAAAACAAAGCAUAAAUUGGUAUGUUCAAAAUUUUAGAAAAGCACAUGUGUGCAUCUAAUUAAUUGCUCCAAUGAUAAAGUGUGACUAUUUUGGAGAAAGGUCACAGAAUGUCACUUUUUCGUAAAAAAGUGACACAACGUCACUUUUUUUUUAAGAAAAGUGACAGGAUGUCACCCUCUCCAUGUGCAAACACAUUGCAUGCAUCCAUAUAAUUGAUUCAAAGUUUUCAUUUUCAUAUGUAUUCUCACAUAACAGGGCAUGAAUUGGUAUGUUUAAAUUUUAAAAAAAGCACACGUAUGCAUCCGGUUAAUUGUUCCAAUGAUAAAGGGUGAUUGUUCUUGUAGAAAGGUAACGAAUGUCACCUUUUCGUUGAAAAGUGACAUAAUGUCACUUUUUUUAGAAAGGUGACAGUAUGUCACUCUUCAUGAUCAAACAUCUUGCAAGCAUCCAUGUAGUCGAUUCAAAGUUUUCUUUUUCAUAUGUAUUACCAAAAAAUAAGAUAUGAAUUAGUACAUUCAAAUUUUCAAAAAAGCACACAUAUGCAUCCGAUUAAUUACUCCAAUGAUAAAUAGUGACUGUUUUGGAGAAAGGUCACAAAAUGUCACUUUUUCUAAGAAAAGUGACAGAAUUCCACUUUCUCACCUUCUCCUAUGAGCAAACACAUUGCAAGCGUCAAUGCAAUUGGUUCAAAGUUUUCUUUCUCAUGUGUAUUACCAAAAAAUAUGACUUGAAUAUAUACAUUCAAAUUUCCAAAAACUCACACAUGUAUAUCUAGCUAAUUGCUCAAGAGAAUGAUGUGACUUUUUUUGAGAAAAAUGACAGAAUGCCACUUUCUCACCUUUUUCUUUGAGCAAACACAAUGCAAGCAUCAAUGCAAUUGGUUUAAAAUUUUCUUUCUAAUGUGUAUUACUAGAAAAUAGAGCUUGAAUAUGUACGUCCAAAUUUCCAAAAACUCACACAUGCAUACCUAUUUAAUUGCUCAAAAGAAAUGCCUUGACUUUUUUUCAGAAAGGUGACAGAAUUCCACUUUCUCACCUUCUCUUUUGAACAAACACAUUGCAAGCAUCAAUGCUAUUGGUUUAAAGUUUUCUUUCUCAUACGUAUUACCGAUUAAUAAGGCUUGAAUAUGUACGUUCAAAUUUCCAAAAACUCACAUGUGCAUACCUAGCUAAUUGCUUAAAAGAGAUGCUGUGACAUUUUUUGAAAAAAGUGAUAGAAAGCCACUUUUUCACAUUAUCUUUUUGUCAAACACCUUGCAAGCAUCAAUUUAAUUAAUUCAAAACUAAUUUUUCAUAUAUAUUGACACAAUCCACUCAACUUCAACAAUUUUAUUUUCAUACAUGUUUCCAAUCAAAUUAAUAAAAUCGUCAAAAAGAAACUUCAUAAAUGUUAAUUAUACAUUAUGAGAUUUAAACUAAAUCUAAUCAUGAAAUUCAAACAAAAAUGAGAUGGAUAAUGAGCUAUAAUCAUGGAAUCCAAAACAUAGAAAUACCUGUAAUUUUGUUUGUGGCUUUGUGGAAGAUCUCCUCGACUUUUUUUCCAAAUUUUUCAAUGUUUUUGUGGUGUGCCGUGCGAGAUUGUGCGAAUUGCAAAGGAGAAGAAGCCGUGUGCAGUGUGGGCCAAGGUCCUCAGGGUGAGUUCAUUGUUCUUCAUACUUGGAAGUCUUGAAUGGUUGAAUUGUUUUUGUUUUUGUUGAAUUCUUUUGGUUCAAAUCCUUUCAUUAUCUUAUCUAUUUUUGGUGAAUUGCGAUUGCGAAAUGAAAUCAGGAUCUCUUUUCGUUGAAUUGUUGAAACUUGAAUGUUGAAUUAUUGAUUUGUUGCACUUGUUCGUUGAGACUUGAGAGGGUUGUCUUGCCUGCCUAAUGUAUUUUGGAUUUGGUAGGUAUUAGGUAGAAUUUAUUUAUAAUUGAUAAUAUUAUUUAAUCAAAUUUAAAUAAAUGACCGACUGCCAGUCGGACCUGACUAUUACGAUCGUUGAUUAUCGACGGUCAACGAUCAAAGUCAACAUCCGCCCUAGAUGUACAUGCGUCUUGGAUUCGCCACUGGAUAAACAAAUGAGUAAGUGCACAAAGGUAAAAGAGUGAUAAUAAUUUAUGCAACAAUGGAAAAAGUAGACAAUCAAAAAAAAAAUAUGAAACUCCAUCUUAUCACCAUUAAUAAAUGGCAAAUUUCAAUAAAAUAGCCCUACUCGGCCCACUUCAUCUGGGAAAUUGUCUGAUGCAAAAAUGAGAAGACAUAAUAUUAACCUAGAAACACACGAUCGAUAAUGGUGUGGCACGGUGGUGGCGGAAGGUUGAGAGAGAAGUGAGAAGAUGGCAUCAAGGCAGACAGGUGGGUUUUGCUAUUUCAGGUUGUUCUCGCACAUGCGACAAGAGGGAUUGAAUGAGGCCUUUCAAUCUGAGUUUUUCAUUGUCAUAUAUAAAAAAAAAAAAAUCAGAGGCGACUUAAAUUGUUAGGCCUGAGGCAUGGGCCUCACUUGCCUUUGCCCAAUCCGGGCUUGCCUCAAAUCCAAUGUAGAAAAUACACUAGAAAAAAAAAAAAGAAAAGAAAAGGACCCUCAACCAACAUUCCACUUCAAGAAUAUGAUCCCUUCCCAAAACUCAGACCAACCAACAAAAAAUCCAAUAAAGUAACAAAAAGGGAAUCUUUACUAUUUUUGGGAAAAUUUUCUAUCUUCUUGAAUGUUCAAUAAAAAAAAAAUUCACUUAAUUGCAACAUUUUUAGGGGGAAAAAAAACCACAAACCCCAUUUUCACAAAAAACAGCACAAUUCCAAAAAAAAAAAAUUAAUAAUAAUAAUAAUAAUAAUAAUAAUAAUAAUAAUAAUAAUAAUAAUAAUAAUAAUAAUAAUAAUAAUAAUUUGGGUUUCUUGAAAUGGAACAAAUUUGUACCUUUGACACCAAAAUCCCUCAUUCAACAAAAACAUUAUUAACAGAAAAUUUUGUGAAAAAAUAAUGUAAAGUUCUGAAUUUGAGUAGAUCAGUGGAACAAAACUACUGAAGCAUUCAAUUGACUGAAUUCAGUGUAGAUUCAGCUCAAAAUGGAACAAUUUUAUUUCAUUAUUUCAUAUUUCAAGUGUUAUUUCCCCCAUUAUAGGCUACAACCGAAACAAUAAUUUCAAAUCUAACAUAGAUUUUCAAAGAUUCUCAUAUUUUUAUCAAUGAAUUAUUGAACACGUAAUGGUAAAACUGUAGAAUCGGGUCUUAUUACUAUCUGAAUUAAGCAACAUAUGACGAAUUCUUGAUUUCUAAAGUGUUGCAAACUACGAGAAUUCAAAAUUAAGCCAUCCAAACUUUCACUCCUUAUUUGAUAACUGAAUUUCAAUAAAAAUUACAUGCCAGUGUUCAUAGACACAAAUAGGUUCAGAAUAAAUUUCUAUAAAUAGUGGGAAAGAAAUACUUACCUGCUCGCCAGAUUGUACGAUUAUACCCAAAAAAAAAAAAAAAGUUUUCCAAGCAAGUUUUGAGGAAUAUUACAUACCUCUCGCCAGAUUGUAGGACCUCGUCAGAGUGGUAACAGACGGAGGACGUCGUCGUGUAGGCUAAUUGGAGAAGGCGUCGAGUGAAGUGAGAUAGAAGAGAGGAAUCGUGAGCAAAAGGGCCAAGUUUCUGUUGUUUUAAUUAGAAAUUUUACUAUAGCGGGUUUGAGCAUGUUUUGGACAUUUUGAGCAUUUUCAACUAAAAACCCCCAAAUUGAAAAAAAAAA